GCCGAUGUAGCUCACCAGGUAGAGCGCCGCUCUCGUAAAGCGGAGGCACCCGGUUCGAUCCCGGGCGUCGGCU
Molecule: transfer RNA, 73 nt
Filed under: Actinoplanes awajinensis subsp. mycoplanecinus
Lineage: Bacteria; Bacillati; Actinomycetota; Actinomycetes; Micromonosporales; Micromonosporaceae
Rfam family: tRNA
About the family: Transfer RNA (tRNA) molecules are approximately 80 nucleotides in length. Their secondary structure includes four short double-helical elements and three loops (D, anti-codon, and T loops). Further hydrogen bonds mediate the characteristic L-shaped molecular structure. tRNAs have two regions of fundamental functional importance: the anti-codon, which is responsible for specific mRNA codon recognition, and the 3' end, to which the tRNAs corresponding amino acid is attached (by aminoacyl-tRNA synthetases). tRNAs cope with the degeneracy of the genetic code in two manners: having more than one tRNA (with a specific anti-codon) for a particular amino acid; and 'wobble' base-pairing, i.e. permitting non-standard base-pairing at the 3rd anti-codon position.
Source: Rfam by way of RNAcentral